CUCAGAGGCAGGCAUAAAACAGGGAGAGAGCUUGACUUAAUUAAAUUUGGGUUUUUUUCAAGGUUGCAAAAUGCAGAAGGACAAGGGACAAGGGGAUUGCAAAUACAUGCAACAGAAUGAUUAUAAUGAUAGCUCAUAGAAACCAAAGCAGGUAAUGAGAAGAAUGAAGACAUAAUGGAAAUGACAAUCAGCAGCAAGUCAAAGGAUUGAAGGAAGUUCAGCAGAAGAACUUCACUGUGAGAG
This 243-nucleotide long non-coding RNA is filed under the name Homo sapiens (human). RNAcentral's name for it is "HSALNT0271794". Lineage: Eukaryota; Metazoa; Chordata; Mammalia; Primates; Hominidae. The record is from RNAcentral.